This 97-nucleotide transfer RNA is filed under the name Chloroflexota bacterium. RNAcentral describes it as "tRNA-Sec". It matches the Rfam family "Selenocysteine transfer RNA". Lineage: Bacteria; Bacillati; Chloroflexota. The record is from RNAcentral.
GGGGGUGCGUCUUCUCUGGUGAGGGGCGCGGUCUUCAAAACCGUUGUGGGGGCGCACCAUUGCGUUCCCAGGUGGGUUCGACUCCCAUGCACUCCCG